Molecule: ribosomal RNA, 575 nt
Filed under: uncultured bacterium
Lineage: Bacteria
Description: partial 16S ribosomal RNA
Rfam family: Bacterial small subunit ribosomal RNA
Source: RNAcentral
UGGGGAAUUUUGGACAAUGGGCGAAAGCCUGAUCCAGCAAUGCCGCGUGUGUGAAGAAGGCCUUCGGGUUGUAAAGCACUUUUGUCCGGAAAGAAAUCCUUGGCUCUAAUACAGUCGGGGGAUGACGGUACCGGAAGAAUAAGCACCGGCUAACUACGUGCCAGCAGCCGCGGUAAUACGUAGGGUGCAAGCGUUAAUCGGAAUUACUGGGCGUAAAGCGUGCGCAGGCGGUUUGCUAAGACCGAUGUGAAAUCCCCGGGCUCAACCUGGGAACUGCAUUGGUGACUGGCAGGCUAGAGUAUGGCAGAGGGGGGUAGAACUCCACGUGUAGCAGUGAAAUGCGUAGAGAUGUGGAGGAAUACCGAUGGCGAAGGCAGCCCCCUGGGCCAAUACUGACGCUCAUGCACGAAAGCGUGGGGAGCAAACAGGAUUAGAUACCCUGGUAGUCCACGCCCUAAACGAUGUCAACUAGUUGUUGGGGAUUCAUUUCCUUAGUAACGUAGCUAACGCGUGAAGUUGACCGCCUGGGGAGUACGGUCGCAAGAUUAAAACUUAAAGGAAUUGACGGGGUCAUA